UACGAAGGGUGCAAACGUUGCUCGGAAUCAUUGGGCGUAAAGCGCACGUAGGCGGCUUCGCAAGUCGGAUGUGAAAUACCUCGGCUCAACCAAGGACGUGCAUCCGAAACUGUGAGGCUUGAGUACUGAAGAGGAUCGCGGAAUUCCCGGUGUAGAGGUGAAAUUCGUAGAUAUCGGGAGGAACACCUGUGGCGAAGGCGGCGAUCUGGGCAGAUACUGACGCUGAGGUGCGAAAGCGUGGGGAGCAAACAGG
RNAcentral lists this ribosomal RNA (253 nucleotides) under uncultured bacterium. Its description in RNAcentral is "partial 16S ribosomal RNA". It matches the Rfam family "Bacterial small subunit ribosomal RNA", at positions 524 to 776 of the family's 1533-position model. The record is from RNAcentral.